Schistosoma mansoni is the source of this 45-nucleotide non-coding RNA. Lineage: Eukaryota; Metazoa; Platyhelminthes; Trematoda; Strigeidida; Schistosomatidae. The record is from Rfam.
AUCCAGCUGACGAGUCCCAAAUAGGAGGGAACAUGAGUCCUGGAU